UCCCUGGUGGUCUAGUGGUUAAGACUUUGCACUUCCAUUGCAGGGGGCGCUGGUUUGAUCUCUAGUCAGGGAA
RNAcentral lists this transfer RNA (73 nucleotides) under Capra hircus (goat). It matches the Rfam family "tRNA". From Rfam's summary of the family: Transfer RNA (tRNA) molecules are approximately 80 nucleotides in length. Their secondary structure includes four short double-helical elements and three loops (D, anti-codon, and T loops). Lineage: Eukaryota; Metazoa; Chordata; Mammalia; Artiodactyla; Bovidae. RNAcentral also lists the same sequence under 1 other name. The record is from Rfam by way of RNAcentral.